GCAGUGGCGGUUCAAUGGUAGAGUUUUCAUUUUCCAUGUGGGAGACCUGGGUUUGAGCCCAGCCAAUGCA
This 70-nucleotide transfer RNA is filed under the name Loxodonta africana (African savanna elephant). It matches the Rfam family "tRNA". From Rfam's summary of the family: Transfer RNA (tRNA) molecules are approximately 80 nucleotides in length. Their secondary structure includes four short double-helical elements and three loops (D, anti-codon, and T loops). Lineage: Eukaryota; Metazoa; Chordata; Mammalia; Proboscidea; Elephantidae. The record is from Rfam by way of RNAcentral.